RNAcentral lists this ribosomal RNA (253 nucleotides) under uncultured bacterium. RNAcentral's name for it is "partial 16S ribosomal RNA". It matches the Rfam family "Bacterial small subunit ribosomal RNA", at positions 524 to 776 of the family's 1533-position model. The record is from RNAcentral.
UACGUAGGGAGCAAGCGUUGUCCGGAAUCAUUGGGCGUAAAGCGCACGUAGGCGGCUCGGUAAGUCGGAUGUGAAAGCCCUCGGCUCAACCAAGGAAGUGCAUUCGAAACUGUCGGACUUGAGUACGGGAGGGGGUUGCGGAAUUCCCGGUGUAGAGGUGAAAUUCGUAGAUAUCGGGAGGAACACCAGUGGCGAAGGCGGCAACCUGGACCGAUACUGACGCUGAGGUGCGAAAGCGUGGGGAGCAAACAGG